GAGUUGGUGCACAACAUGAGUUGGUGCAACCUCUGGAUUGUUUUGGAUGGGUUAAAAAAGAGAAGCAGUGGAGAGGAAUUCGUGUAGCUGCUGUUCAUAGUAUUAACAAGCACAAGUUGAUAAUGUGCAUUUUUUCAGAUGUACUGUCAGAUAGGGUGGAAAAGGUGCUAACGUAAGUAUUAUAGCUCUGGACUACACUUCCCAGAAGCCAAUGAACUCUCGCAUGCUGUGUCACAUGAUCUCUCCACCUGAAUCAUAUUGUCUUGUAAUUAACCCAUGUACAUAGUCUCACCUUUCACAGUACUGGUUUAGGGCAAUGUUCAUUCAACCAUCCUCUAGGAUAAAUAAAGUGUAUCUAUCUAUCUAUCUAUCUAUCUAUCUAUCUAUCUAUCUAUCUAUCUAUCUAUGUAAAAAGGCAGAAAGUAGCUGCAGAUACGGUAUUAAUAUUUUAAUAUUGCAAAGGUACAAUCAAAAAACAUAAAUAUAAAACACAAGGUUUGGGAAUACAGGAACCUGGACACCAACAAGGACAACUGUAAAAGGCAAUCAUGAGACAAAGACUGCUGUUAAAGUUUGAGCUACAGGAGCUCGUCUGUUGGAUCGGACCACAGGGACCAGCCUUCUCUCCAAACGUGCAUCAAUGACCCAUGACCCUGUCGCUGGUUUACCACUGUUCCUUCCUUGGAGCACUUUUGAUAGAUACUGACCACUGCAGACCGGGAACAUCUCACAAGAGCUGCAGUUUUGGAGAUGCUCUGACCCAGACGUCAAGACAUCACAAUUUGUCAAACUCGCCAAAUCGCCCAUUUUUCCACAUCAACUUUGAGGACCAAAUAUUCACCUGCUGCCUAAGAAAUAUAUUCCACCCGGUAACAGGUGCCAUAACGAAGAGAUAAUCAGUGUUCUUCAUUUCACCGCUCAGAAUCUUAUAUAUAUUUGCGCAGAUGCAGACGGUUCAGUAUUUUAUGUUGUGAAUUAAACGCUCUGUUCAAGCUGUUAUUGGAAAAUAUCUAACAUGGUGAUGUAGUGACACUGAAAAUCGAGUAAAGCGCAUAGAGUGGUUUAUUCCUUGUUUUUAA
This is a long non-coding RNA of Silurus meridionalis, 1079 nucleotides long. RefSeq lists it as uncharacterized. NCBI's taxonomy places the organism in Eukaryota, Metazoa, Chordata, Actinopteri, Siluriformes, Siluridae. The record is from RefSeq and is a predicted model, not a curated record. The transcript has 2 exons.